Molecule: ribosomal RNA, 628 nt
Filed under: uncultured bacterium
Lineage: Bacteria
Description: bacterial SSU rRNA
Rfam family: Bacterial small subunit ribosomal RNA
Source: RNAcentral
UGCAGUCGAACGGAACAUGUCUAGCUUGCUAGAUGAUGUCGAGUGGCGGACGGGUGAGUAAUACUUAGGAACAUGCCUUUGGGUGGGGGAUAACUAUUGGAAACGAUAGCUAAUACCGCAUAAUGUCUACGGACCAAAGGGGGCUUCGGCUCCCACCAAGAGAUGAACCUAAGCGAGAUUAGCUAGUUGGUGUGGUAAAGGCGCACCAAGGCGACGAUCUCUAGCUGUUCUGAGAGGAAGAUCAGCCACACUGGGACUGAGACACGGCCCAGACUCCUACGGGAGGCAGCAGUGGGGAAUAUUGCACAAUGGGGGAAACCCUGAUGCAGCCAUGCCGCGUGUGUGAAGAAGGCCUUCGGGUUGUAAAGCACUUUCAGUUGUGAGGAAAGUUUGAUGGUUAAUACCCAUUAGAUGUGACGUUAACAACAGAAGAAGGACCGGCUAACUCCGUGCCAGCAGCCGCGGUAAUACGGAGGGUCCGAGCGUUAAUCGGAAUUACUGGGCGUAAAGCGCACGCAGGCGGUUUGUUAAGCUAGAUGUGAAAGCCCCGGGCUCAACCUGGGAAUAGCAUUUAGAACUGGCAGGCUAGAGUCUUGGAGAGGGGAGUGGAAUUUCUGGUGUAGCGGUG